This 537-nucleotide ribosomal RNA is filed under the name uncultured bacterium. Its description in RNAcentral is "bacterial SSU rRNA". It matches the Rfam family "Bacterial small subunit ribosomal RNA", at positions 355 to 896 of the family's 1533-position model. The record is from RNAcentral.
UGGGGAAUUUUGGACAAUGGGCGAAAGCCUGAUCCAGCAACUCUGCGUGAGGGACGAAGCCCUUCGGGGCGUAAACCUCUUUUAUUGGGGACGAAUGCUCGCAAGAGCUUGACGGUACCCAGUGAAUAAGUCUCCGCUAACUACGUGCCAGCAGCCGCGGUAACACGUAGGAGACAAGCGUUAUCCGGAUUUACUGGGUGUAAAGCGCGUGUAGGCGGCUCUGUAAGUUGGAUGUGAGAGCUCCUGGCUUAACUGGGAGAGGUUGUUCAAGACUGCAGGGUUUGAGGGUAACAGAGGGGAGUGGAAUUCCGAGUGUAGCGGUAAAAUGCAUAGAUAUUCGGAAGAACACCAGUGGCGAAAGCGGCUCUCUGGGUUACAUCUGACGCUCAGACGCGAAAGCUAGGGGAGCAAACGGGAUUAGAGACCCCGGUAGUCCUAGCCGUAAACGAUGUGAACUUGGCGUUGGUGGGUUUAAAUCCGUCAGUGCCGAAGCAAACGCGAUAAGUUCACCACCUGGGGACUACGGCCGCAAGGUUA